This 448-nucleotide long non-coding RNA is filed under the name Calidris pugnax (ruff). RNAcentral's name for it is "lncRNA (ENSCPUG00000003333.1)". The record is from RNAcentral. Lineage: Eukaryota; Metazoa; Chordata; Aves; Charadriiformes; Scolopacidae.
GUGCGACAGGACUCGGAUCUGGCAGCGCUGACAGACCCCAGGGCCUAGAAACCCAACCACGAGGCCCGGAAACAUCAGGAUGGAUUCAACAGGACGAUUUGGACUAAAUCCCAGAAAUUUCACUCAAGGAGGACUCAAAGCAGAUGCCAGGAAAACCUUUGCUCGAGUGCUUCCCAUUGUUUUCUUAUUCCCAUGGGAAUCCUAAGGGUCAAGAUGGAUCAUGAAAUGAUGCAAGAAGCCAGAGCAAAAAACAGGUCCAUGAGGACACUUUAUUCAAUAUUUUUCACUUGUUCAGUUGAAUGUAUUUGUGGAGUUAAUAAUAAAUAUAAAAUAUAAAUAAAAGGAAGUAUCAUGCUUGCAAGAAUAAGCGACAAACUUGUGUACUUAGCAUAGAAUGAAUCAAUAGUCUUCUCAUGGUAAGAAGAGAUUCAUAUAAACUAGGAGUUUG